AUUGCUUUCCCCAACCUAAAACCAGACACUCCCUCCCGUGGGGACAAGUCUUAAACACCAGCAGAAGAACGACACUGGUUUAUUAUUUCCCUGAGUCCCCUCUCUGCAGAUGACCUAUAGAAGUGAUUUAAUGCAGAGCCGCUGGAGUUCCAACACUUUCUCUGUGCUCCUCAGGCUGAGACGAGCUGAUUUCUUUGGGGUGUUAUAACUAUGACCUGCUCCAUUAAGUAGCAAACAAAGUACAGCUGGAUAUAGCAAGCUCAGCUUGACUCUUAGCUUUCACGUAACCUGCUUGAUUAGGAAAAAUGUUGUGCCCUUGUCACACAGCUCCUACUGUAGUCUGAAAAGAUGGGUAUCCAUUGAUUUCUGCAUAAUAUGGAUUCACACUGUCUUUCCACAACAGCAUGUUUCACACCCUAAAAUAACCUGGCAAAAACCAUUAUUUUUCCUGCUGGUUUAGCUGUAAAAAGUGUUACUACUCUAGGUAAUGUGCUGCUUAUUACACAAUUACCUGAAGUGCUUUACAAUGCAUUAAUUGCUGCUUGAUUUAAACAUUUCCCAUUUAGGAACCAAGCUAUAUCAUUGUGACAAAUUACAAGUCAAUAAUCUGGUUACUAAGAAGAGGAAAUGAAGAAGCUGGGGACUGCUUCAUUAAGGGAAGCAGACCAUUGCUAAGUGAAAUACCAAGCUGAUGCUAUUAUCAAUAUUGUGAUGCAUGUACGCUGAUGCAUGCUGCAGAGGCAAGCGGGAAAGCAGAAGGUAAAACUGAUCCUCUUGUAGUGAUGCACUUGGCACUCAAAAUAAUGAUCGUGAAGACCUAACGGUGAAUUAAUUCAGGCAAAGACUUGUUUCCUCAUCAGGGCUUGUUCUGCCCUCAGCUGGGAGCCCAGGCGUGGGGUUCAGGACGAGGUGGGUUUUCCAGGAUGCCGGUUGCCAAAGCAAUUGAACGUCCCUUGGCUGAACCUCCAGGUUCCUCCCUGCUACGGAUGAUGCUGUGGGUCUGCUGCUGGAGGCAGAAGGGAAGAGGACCUGGCGCUGCUGGAAAAAACACCCCAGGCUGCUCUUUACAGUUGAUCUGCACCCAGAAGUGCAGGUGGAAAUGUGCACAGCCGGUACAGUCAGGGACUUGGCUGGGAUUUUGGUGUUGCCAAAAAUGGUCUCUGGAGGUCAUAUUUAGAAGCUCUACCCUGCUGUUAUUAAAAUCCGCUAUGCUUUUAUCAUCAGUUGUCUUCAGGGGCUGGGACUGUUAAUAACACACUGAGAAACCUCGCGGUAUUACUCCCACAGUCAGAGGCACUUUUUUUUCUCAGAAUUGCUCAGCAUUAGCCUAGCUCUGUCUCAUCGAUUUUAGAGGGAGCAGAAUGAGAUCAAUGCAAAGAAAAUCCUACCAUUAAUGUUUUGACUUAAGCUUUGUAUCGCUUCUUACAAGGGCAUGCAAAGAGAUGUCAUAUUUUAAAAGCACUAAUGUGGGAAAAAUUAACACGAGUGAUUUUUAACAGAGGAGUAGUCAGUAGAAGAAAACCCAAGUGUGGAAAUAAAUAGAAUUACCACAUAAAAAGCA
This 1561-nucleotide long non-coding RNA is filed under the name Anser cygnoides (Swan goose). Its description in RNAcentral is "lncRNA (ENSACDG00005005634.1)". The record is from RNAcentral. Lineage: Eukaryota; Metazoa; Chordata; Aves; Anseriformes; Anatidae.